Molecule: transfer RNA, 71 nt
Filed under: Ictidomys tridecemlineatus (thirteen-lined ground squirrel)
Lineage: Eukaryota; Metazoa; Chordata; Mammalia; Rodentia; Sciuridae
Description: Spermophilus tridecemlineatus (thirteen-lined ground squirrel) tRNA
Rfam family: tRNA
About the family: Transfer RNA (tRNA) molecules are approximately 80 nucleotides in length.
Source: Rfam by way of RNAcentral
GCGGAUGUAUCUCAGUGGUAGAGUGCUUGCCUUGCAUGCAUGAGGCCCUAGGUUCGAUCCUCAGCACCACA